GAUGAACGCUGGCGGUAUGCCUAACACAUGCAAGUCGUACGAGAGUUUUUAACUCUAGUGGCGGACGGGUGAGUAACACGUGAGAAUUUGCCUUUAGGAGGGGGACAACAAUUGGAAACGAAUGCUAAUACCCCAUAUGCUUUCGAGUGAAAUGGAUUUUAUCCGCCUAGAGAGAAGCUCGCGGCUGAUUAGCUUGUUGGUAAGGUAAGAGCUUACCAAGGCGACGAUCAGUAUCUGGUUUGAGAGGACGAUCAGACACACUGGAACUGAGACACGGUCCAGACUCCUACGGGAGGCAGCAGUGGGGAAUUUGGACAAUGGGCGAAAGCCUGAUCCAGCCAUUCCGCGUGCAGGAUGAAGGCCCUCGGGUUGUAAACUGCUUUGUACAGAACGAAAAGGUACUCUAUUAAUACUAGGGCUCAUGACGGUACUGUAAGAAUAAGACACCGGCUAACUACGUGCCAGCAGCCGC
RNAcentral lists this ribosomal RNA (472 nucleotides) under uncultured bacterium. RNAcentral describes it as "bacterial SSU rRNA". It matches the Rfam family "Bacterial small subunit ribosomal RNA", at positions 28 to 518 of the family's 1533-position model. The record is from RNAcentral.